GGUUAAGCGACUAAGCGUACACGGUGGAUGCCCUGGCAGUCAGAGGCGAUGAAGGACGUGCUAAUCUGCGAUAAGCGUCGGUAAGGUGAUAUGAACCGUUAUAACCGGCGAUUUCCGAAUGGGAAACCCAGUGUGAUUCGUCACACUAUCAUUAACUGAAUCCAUAGGUUAAUGAGGCGAACCGGGGAACUGAAACAUCUAAGUACCCCGAGGAAAAGAAAUCAACCGAGAUUCCCCCAGUAGCGGCGAGCGAACGGGGAGGAGCCCAGAGCCUGAAUCAGUGUGUGUGUUAGUGGAAGCGUCUGGAAAGGCGCGCGAUACAGGGUGACAGCCCCGUACACAAAAAUGCACAUGCUGUGAGCUCGAUGAGUAGGGCGGGACACGUGGUAUCCUGUCUGAAUAUGGGGACCAUCCUCCAAGGCUAAAUACUCCUGACUGACCGAUAGUGAACCAGUACCGUGAGGGAAAGGCGAAAAGAACCCCGGCGAGGGAGUGAAAAGAACCUGAAACCGUGUACGUACAAGCAGUGGGAGCCUCUUUAUGGGGUGACUGCGUACCUUUGUAUAAUGGGUCAGCGACUUAUAUUCUGUAGCAAGGUUAACCGAAUAGGGGAGCCGAAGGGAAACCGAGUCUUAACUGGGCGUUAAGUUGCAGGGUAUAGACCUGAAACCCGGUGAUCUAGCCAUGGGCAGGUUGAAGGUUGGGUAACACUAACUGGAGGACCGAACCGACUAAUGUUGAAAAAUUAGCGGAUGACUUGUGGCUGGGGGUGAAAGGCCAAUCAAACCGGGAGAUAGCUGGUUCUCCCCGAAAGCUAUUUAGGUAGCGCCUCGUGAAUUCAUCUCCGGGGUAGAGCACUGUUUCGGCAAGGGGUCAUCCCGACUUACCAACCCGAUGCAAACUGCGAAUACCGGAGAAUGUUAUCACGGGAGACACACGGCGGGUGCUAACGUCCGUCGUGAAGAGGGAAACAACCCAGACCGCCAGCUACAGGUCCCAAAGUCAUGGUUAAGUGGGAAACGAUGUGGGAAGGCCCAGACAGCCAGGAUGUUGGCUUAGAAGCAGCCAUCAUUUAAAGAAAGCGUAAUAGCUCACUGGUCGAGUCGGCCUGCGCGGAAGAUGUAACGGGGCUAAACCAUGCACCGAAGCUGCGGCAGCGACACUAUGUGUUGUUGGGUAGGGGAGCGUUCUGUAAGCCUGCGAAGGUGUACUGUGAGGUAUGCUGGAGGUAUCAGAAGUGCGAAUGCUGACAUAAGUAACGAUAAAGCGGGUGAAAAGCCCGCUCGCCGGAAGACCAAGGGUUCCUGUCCAACGUUAAUCGGGGCAGGGUGAGUCGACCCUAAGGCGAGGCCGAAAGGCGUAGUCGAUGGGAAACAGGUUAAUAUUCCUGUACUUGGUGUUACUGCGAAGGGGACGGAGAAGGCUAUGUUGGUAGGGCGACGGUUGUCCCGGUUUAAGCGUGUAGGCUGGUUUUCCAGGCAAAUCCGGAAAAUCAAGGCUGAGGCGUGAUGACGAGGCACUACGGUGCUGAAGCAACAAAUGCCCUGCUUCCGGGAAAAGCCUCUAAGCAUCAGGUAACAUCAAAUCGUACCCCAAACCGACACAGGUGGUCAGGUAGAGAAUACCAAGGCGCUUGAGAGAACUCGGGUGAAGGAACUAGGCAAAAUGAUGUCGUAACUUCGGGAGAAGGCACGCUGAUAUGUAGGUGAAGUCCCUCGCGGAUGGAGCUGAAAUCAGUCGAAGAUACCAGCUGGCUGCAACUGUUUAUUAAAAACACAGCACUGUGCAAACACGAAAGUGGACGUAUACGGUGUGACGCCUGCCCGGUGCCGGAAGGUUAAUUGAUGGGGUUAGCGGUAACGCGAAGCUCUUGAUCGAAGCCCCGGUAAACGGCGGUACGUAACUAUAACGGUCCUAAGGUAGCGAAAUUCCUUGUCGGGUAAGUUCCGACCUGCACGAAUGGCGUAAUGAUGGCAAGGCUGUCUCCACCCGAGACUCAGUGAAAUUGAACUCGCUGUGAAGAUGCAGUGUACCCGCGGCAAGACGGAAAGACCCCGUGAACCUUUACUAUAGCUUGACACUGAACAUUGAGCCUUGAUGUGUAGGAUAGGUGGGAGGCUUUGAAGUGUGGACGCCAGUCUGCAUGGAGCCGACCUUGAAAUACCACCCUUUAAUGUUUGAUGUUCUAACGUUGGCCCCUGAUCGGGGUUGCGGACAGUGUCUGGUGGGUAGUUUGACUGGGGCGGUCUCCUCCUAAAGAGUAACGGAGGAGCACGAAGGUUGGCUAAUCCUGGUCGGACAUCAGGAGGUUAGUGCAAUGGCAUAAGCCAGCUUGACUGCGAGCGUGACGGCGCGAGCAGGUGCGAAAGCAGGUCAUAGUGAUCCGGUGGUUCUGAAUGGAAGGGCCAUCGCUCAACGGAUAAAAGGUACUCCGGGGAUAACAGGCUGAUACCGCCCAAGAGUUCAUAUCGACGGCGGUGUUUGGCACCUCGAUGUCGGCUCAUCACAUCCUGGGGCUGAAGUAGGUCCCAAGGGUAUGGCUGUUCGCCAUUUAAAGUGGUACGCGAGCUGGGUUUAGAACGUCGUGAGACAGUUCGGUCUCCUAUCUGCCGUGGGCGCUGGAGAACUGAGGGGCUGCUCCUAGUACGAGAGGACCGGAGUGGACGCAUCACUGGUGUUCGGGUUGUCAUGCCAAUGGCACUGCCCGGUAGCUAAAUGCGGAAGAGAUAAGUGCUGAAAGCAUCUAAGCACGAAACUUGCCCCGAGAUGAGUUCUCCCUGACUCCUUGAGAGUCCUGAAGGAACGUUGAAGACGACGACGUUGAUAGGCCGGGUGUGUAAGCGCAGCGAUGCGUUGAGCUAACCGGUACUAAUGAACCGUGAGGCUUAACCUU
This 2893-nucleotide ribosomal RNA is filed under the name Escherichia coli. RNAcentral's name for it is "23S ribosomal RNA". It matches the Rfam family "Bacterial large subunit ribosomal RNA". Lineage: Bacteria; Pseudomonadati; Pseudomonadota; Gammaproteobacteria; Enterobacterales; Enterobacteriaceae. The record is from RNAcentral.